AAUUAUAAUUUCAUUCCUUCAUUUAGUACAAAAGAAACAGCCACAACCUAAACAUCACAACAUUCCAACUCCAUUAACCUUAAAUCACUACGUUCAACCACAUUGGGACCACCUCUUUAAACAUCAUCACUUCAAGCAAAAUACACAAAACAUAAGUAUGUUAACUACACUAAGAAAACCAGUCACUGCUACUAAUAAUUGGAUCUUUUUCUUCGAAGCUUUGAGUGCGUUUUCCAGAUCAUAAAUCUUCCCCCUUUGCCUCCCAAUAAUAACAUCCCUUUUGUCAUUAUUUUCUUUACUGCACCACUUGAAAUAGUUGCAACACAUCGCAUUACCAACUUCACUCUAUUAUUCAUCAACAACAAAAACUUCAAACACAAUGUUAAUUACUAACACAUAAAGAACAUAAGGUUUAUAUUCACAUUACCUUGUAGUUUCGACAACCCCAAAAAUAUCUUCCCG
This 462-nucleotide long non-coding RNA is filed under the name Vigna radiata. RNAcentral describes it as "long non-coding RNA (VRAD_LNC015285)". The record is from RNAcentral. Lineage: Eukaryota; Viridiplantae; Streptophyta; Magnoliopsida; Fabales; Fabaceae.